This 351-nucleotide ribosomal RNA is filed under the name uncultured bacterium. RNAcentral's name for it is "bacterial SSU rRNA". It matches the Rfam family "Bacterial small subunit ribosomal RNA", at positions 32 to 359 of the family's 1533-position model. The record is from RNAcentral.
AAUCAACGCUGGCGGCGUGCCUCAGACAUGCAAGUCGAACGCGAAAGUCCCCUUCGGGGGACGAAGUAGAGUGGCGCACGGGUGAGUAACACGUAGGUAAUCUACCUUUGGAUGGGGAAUAACAACCGGAAACGGUUGCUAAUACCGCAUAAUGCAGCGGCACCUAAUGGUGACAGUUGUUAAAGCGGGGGAUCGAAAGACCUCGCGUCUGAAGAGGAGCCUGCGGCGGAUUAGCUAGNGGUUAAGGGUAAUGGCUUACCAAGGCUACGAUCCGUAACCGGCCUGAGAGGGCGGGUCGGUCACACUGACACUGACAUACGGGUCAGACUCCUACGGGAGGCAGCAGUCGGG